Molecule: microRNA precursor, 130 nt
Filed under: Paramuricea clavata
Lineage: Eukaryota; Metazoa; Cnidaria; Anthozoa; Malacalcyonacea; Plexauridae
Source: RNAcentral
UUCCUUGUAUUCCUCCUUUGUUGGACUAAUAUUUUCCGAGACUUUGUACUCGAUGUUCAAAUGUAUACUAGUAACAUCGAGUACAAAGUCUCGGAAAAUAUUAGUCCAACAAAGGAGGAAUACAAGGAAA